This 253-nucleotide ribosomal RNA is filed under the name uncultured bacterium. RNAcentral's name for it is "partial small subunit ribosomal RNA". It matches the Rfam family "Bacterial small subunit ribosomal RNA", at positions 26 to 291 of the family's 1533-position model. The record is from RNAcentral.
AGGACGAACGCUGGCGGCGUGCUUAACACAUGCAAGUCACGGGGGCCCGCAAGAGCAACCGGCGAACGGGUGCGUAACACGUGAGCAACCUGCCGAUCUGAGGGGGAUAGCCGGCCCAACGGCCGGGUAAUACCGCAUACGGUUUUGAGGGACAUCCCUUAGGAACGAAACCUCCGGGGCAGAUCGAGGGGCUCGCGGCCUAUCAGCUAGUUGGCGGGGUAACGGCCCACCAAGGCGACGACGGGUAGCUGGU